This 450-nucleotide ribosomal RNA is filed under the name uncultured bacterium. RNAcentral's name for it is "partial 16S ribosomal RNA". It matches the Rfam family "Bacterial small subunit ribosomal RNA", at positions 354 to 796 of the family's 1533-position model. The record is from RNAcentral.
GUAGGGAAUCUUCGGCAAUGGACGAAAGUCUGACCGAGCAACGCCGCGUGAGUGAAGAAGGUUUUCGGAUCGUAAAACUCUGUUGGUAGAGAAGAACGUUGGUGAGAGUGGAAAGCUCAUCAAGUGACGGUAACUACCCAGAAAGGGACGGCUAACUACGUGCCAGCAGCCGCGGUAAUACGUAGGUCCCGAGCGUUGUCCGGAUUUAUUGGGCGUAAAGCGAGCGCAGGUGGUUUAUUAAGUCUGGUGUAAAAGGCAGUGGCUCAACCAUUGUAUGCAUUGGAAACUGGUAGACUUGAGUGCAGGAGAGGAGAGUGGAAUUCCAUGUGUAGCGGUGAAAUGCGUAGAUAUAUGGAGGAACACCGGUGGCGAAAGCGGCUCUCUGGCCUGUAACUGACACUGAGGCUCGAAAGCGUGGGGAGCAAACAGGAUUAGAAACCCUGGUAGUCC